RNAcentral lists this ribosomal RNA (380 nucleotides) under uncultured archaeon. RNAcentral's name for it is "bacterial SSU rRNA". It matches the Rfam family "Archaeal small subunit ribosomal RNA", at positions 473 to 853 of the family's 1478-position model. The record is from RNAcentral.
AUACCAGCUCUCCGAGUGGUGUGGAUGUUUAUUGGGCCUAAAGCAUCCGUAGCUUGCUGAGCCAGUCCCCUGUUAAACCCACCGAUUUAAUCGUUGGAUUGCGGGGGAUACUGCUCGGCUAGGGGACGGGAGAGGCAGACGGUAUUUUCGGGGUAGGGGUGAAAUCCUAUAAUCCCGGGAAGACCACCAGUGGCGAAGGCUGUCUGCUAGAACGCGCCCGACGGUGAGGGAUGAAAGCUGGGGGAGCGAACCGGAUUAGAUACCCGGGUAGUCCCAGCUGUAAACUAUGCAGGCUAGGUGUUUGGGCGGCCACGUGCCGCUCUAGUGCCGCAGGGAAGCUGUUAAGCCUGCCGCCUGGGGAGUACGGUCGCAAGAUUGAA